Molecule: long non-coding RNA, 387 nt
Organism: Rhodamnia argentea
Lineage: Eukaryota; Viridiplantae; Streptophyta; Magnoliopsida; Myrtales; Myrtaceae
Exons: 3
Source: RefSeq, a predicted model, not a curated record
UGUGUUUGGUAUAAGGCAGUAGAAUGGGAGCUUUGCUGCGGCUUAUCAUUAAGCUCAAUUUUAAAGACUUACCCAAGUAUAAAUUAGUGAUCAUAUAUUAGUGCUAGAGUGAAGUUGAUGUACAAGGCACUAUAGCGGAGCUUUGCUGUGGUAAGUUUACUUGGAGGAAAGAAGAAUGAAGCGACCAAUGCUGGGAAUAGUCAAUGUCUGUGUCCGACUGAAUCAAAGAUCAACCAGCUGAAAUUGAGAAUGUGUCAACUAUAUAUGUAUUUUGUUUCUCAUCAGAAGGAGAAGUAGACUGAACUCCAUGCUCAACAGAUAUGAUAAAACCUCAAAUCAAAGCUUAUUCACUGCAGGAUCAUCGUCUCCCUUCAGUUUCACCCAUCU